CUAUGAUCUGAGAUAUGAUCAUGGCAAAAGGAG
This 33-nucleotide non-coding RNA is filed under the name Lactobacillus amylolyticus DSM 11664. The record is from RNAcentral. Lineage: Bacteria; Bacillati; Bacillota; Bacilli; Lactobacillales; Lactobacillaceae.